GACGAACGCUGGCGGCGUGCUUAACACAUGCAAGUCGAACGGAAAGGCCCUGCUUUUGUGGGGUGCUCGAGUGGCGAACGGGUGAGUAACACGUGAGUAGCCUGCCCUUGACUUUGGGAUAACUUCAGGAAACUGGGGCUAAUACUGGAUAGGAGCUCCUGCUGCAUGGUGGGGGUUGGAAAGUGUCGGCGGUUGGGGAUGGACUCGCGGCUUAUUAGCUUGUUGGUGGGGUAGUGGCUUACCAAGGCUUUGACGGGUAGCCGGCCUGAGGGGGUGACCGGCGACAUUGGGACUGAGAUACGGCCCAGACUCGUACGGGAGGCAGCAGUGGGAAAUAUUGCACAAUGGGCGGAAGCCUGAUGCAGCAGCGCCGCGUGCGGGAUGACGGCCUUCGGGUUGUAAACCGCUUUCGCCUGUGACGAAGCGUGAGUGACGGUAAUGGGUAAAGAAGCACCAGCUAACUACGUG
RNAcentral lists this ribosomal RNA (468 nucleotides) under uncultured bacterium. Its description in RNAcentral is "partial 16S ribosomal RNA". It matches the Rfam family "Bacterial small subunit ribosomal RNA", at positions 28 to 507 of the family's 1533-position model. The record is from RNAcentral.